AGUUGACACUCCCAGAAACUGUCAACAGAGGGCCACAGGCCUCCACUGCGCGACCUUCUUUCCUGAGUCUGCAUCAAGUCAGAGUGGCUCUUCCUUUUUUGGCCAAAUUCCGACCAUCCAGACAUCUAACAUCUUGUCCAAGCAAAACAGAGUUGACACUACCAAAACUCACCAUAGAAAGCCCUGUAGAAAAAUCACAGACCUCCUAUGUGCAUCCUACCUGUCCUUCUGUCCCAGGACCGGAUCCAUCCACAGUGGCUCGUCCUCUGUAUAAAUUCCCGCCAUCCAGACCGCGCACCUUAAACCCAAGCAAUUUGAAGAGGUCUCUCAGAUCUGAUGUAUCUACUUCUUAAAACACUUGCAUGUCUCACUAUUAGUGUUACAUUUGAUUUCACCUGAGUCUCAAAGGUUGUGGAUCUCUGAAAACGAUGGUGAUCAAAAUAAAUAAAUAAAAAUCUUUACAGCAUUUAAUACCUGUUUAUUA
Molecule: long non-coding RNA, 484 nt
Organism: Carassius auratus (goldfish)
Lineage: Eukaryota; Metazoa; Chordata; Actinopteri; Cypriniformes; Cyprinidae
Exons: 4
Source: RefSeq, a predicted model, not a curated record